This 65-nucleotide transfer RNA is filed under the name marine eukaryotic metagenome. It matches the Rfam family "tRNA". Rfam says of the family: Transfer RNA (tRNA) molecules are approximately 80 nucleotides in length. Their secondary structure includes four short double-helical elements and three loops (D, anti-codon, and T loops). The record is from RNAcentral.
CGAAUGGCGCAGCGGUAGCGCAGCGGCUUUACACGCCGUUGGUCGGGGGUUCGAAUCCCUCUUCG